CCUACGGGUGGCUGCAGUGGGGAAUAUUGGGCAAUGGAGGCAACUCUUACCCAGCAAUGCCGCGUGAAUGAAGAAGGUCUUCGGAUUGUAAAGUUCUUUAAUUGGGGACGAAAAAAAUGACGGUACCCCAGGAAUAAGCCCCGGCUAACUACGUGCCAGCAGCCGCGGUAAUACGUAGGGGGCAAGCGUUGUUCGGAAUGACUGGGCGUACAGGGUGUGUAGGCGGGGUAGCAAGUUAGAGGUGAAAUACCUAGAGCUUAACUCAGGCGCUGCUGCUAAAACUGCUAUACUUGAGUGCGGUAGAGGAAGGUGGAAUUCCUGGUGUAGCGGUGGAAUGCGUAGAUAUUAGGAGGAACAUCGGUGGCGAAGGCGGCUUGCUGGACUGUAACUGACGCUGAGGCACGAAAGCGUGGGGAGCGAACAGGAUUAGAUACCCCAGUAGUC
This 444-nucleotide ribosomal RNA is filed under the name uncultured bacterium. Its description in RNAcentral is "partial 16S ribosomal RNA". It matches the Rfam family "Bacterial small subunit ribosomal RNA", at positions 338 to 795 of the family's 1533-position model. The record is from RNAcentral.